RNAcentral lists this long non-coding RNA (1703 nucleotides) under Homo sapiens (human). RNAcentral's name for it is "HSALNT0230171". The record is from RNAcentral. Lineage: Eukaryota; Metazoa; Chordata; Mammalia; Primates; Hominidae.
GCAAGGCGGAGGACCAGAGGUGAUCCCAGGACUGUGGGCCCCGGGCCCUGACGCCUCGGAGCACACCCUGUCCUGAGCCAGCCCGAUAUAUUGGAAGCUCGGGAGCUCGCGAGCUGGGGGAAGGCCUGGAAUGUGAGUGAAAGAGAGGCCGCCUGAUGGGCCUUGAGCCUGGGCAGGGGACUGAGGCAUUACGGCCUGACGACGGAUUCCUGUUUCCUGCAACAUGGGGAGUCUCCAAAAUGGCCUGUUUGGAAACGAAAGGAGAGCGAAGACACGAUGCUGCUUUUCCAAGCUUCACUGGAGGUUUCUGUGUCCCCACAGAGCUCGGGAAACAAACAGUCAACAUGGUAACGCUUUCGGGGUCCAGAGACACGUGAGCAACAGGCCCCCUUGCAGAAGGCAAAGGAACGUGGAAUCCGGAAUCAUGGUUCACUCGGCUUGAGUGUGACUCCUGUGUGGAUGGGAGUAUCUGCCUCGCGCUCUGUUGUAGGCUCAGCGUGGGGAGGCUCACAUGUCAUCUGUGAACCAUGUGGAUGAAAAACGGACAACAAUUCGAGUCUCGGCUCUGCUCUUUGGGGAAUUCGCUCAUUCCUUGGGAGGCGGAAUUCGUCUGAAUCGCUCCCGGGUGAAGUAACCCAGGCUGGAGAUCCCGAGGGCGGGUGAGCACACCGCCGGCCGACGCGGCUGUGGGCAGAGCACUCAGCCUGCACUGGGCACCCAACAUUUUCCCGGAGUGGGAGAUCCUGCUGGUCCUGGAGGCAGAAGACUGCUUUUCUCUCUGCCUUCCUCUCUCUGUUUCUUGCUCCCUCCCACCCUCUUUCCCUCCGUCCCUCCCUCAGUUCCUCCCUUCCUCCCUCCCUCCCUCCUUCCCUCUCUCCCUCCUUCUAUCCCUCCAUCCUUUCCAAGGUCCCACGGUCCAUCCGUUAUUUUCUCCCUCCAUCGCUCCCUCCCUCUCUGUCUCCGUUCCUCUCCCCAUCUCUGCCUGAGUUCCCUCCUGCGUAGAAAGGGCAGUACUCCGGCUUGCACGGGGUCUCGGGUCUGCAUUUAGCUGUCAGGCGCUCCACGGCGAUGCCGAGGAAGCUGGCGUGGCAAGAGUAGGCGAGUGACGGUGGGGCGGGGAGGCAGAGGGGGCGAGACGCAGAAAGAAGAGCAGGCCUGGCGUCUGCCCGGGCCAGUGUUUCCCGGGAUGUAGGUCUCCGCCCGCCCCAAAGAAGAACGCGGCAGGGGGCAAGAGGGAAGGGAUGAGAACUCCUCCUAGACUAGUUAGAAAACCUAGGCUACUGCCUGCUAACCCGCGCAUGAGCAGUAGACAGUCCGCCUCCCAGUACCUGGACCGGCCCUGGGAUCCCCGGGAUGCUCAGGAAAGAAUGAUACCCCUCCUCUGAGUGGAGUCUCUCACGGGACCUGGAACUCAGGGAUCCUAGGCAGAUCAGCUGGAAGGGAAGACACGCCUCUCCAUACCGAGUCAGAGGUUCACCGCGAAAGAGAGGCCGCCGCCCUGCCCCCACCCCGCCCCAACCCCGUGUCCUAAAGCUCCUCCAGCAGAGCCCGGUGUUCUUCCUGGCUGAGGAGUGGUUCCAACGGAGCGGGCUCUUCCACCUCCUUCAGCUUCCCCAGUGGCGCCGGAUCUAGGAAAGAUUGUGCCUUUUUCUGAAACUCUGGGGUUGGCAGGAGCUCAUCUAACAGUCUGGGGGUGUGUGUAG